GAGUUUGAUCGUGGCUCAGAUUGAACGCUGGCGGCAUGCCUAACACAUGCAAGUCGAACGGCAGCGCGGGGGCAACCCUGGCGGCGAGUGGCGGACGGGUGAGGAACACAUAGGAAUCUACCUCAACGUGGGGGAUAACGUAGGGAAACUUACGCUAAUACCGCAUACGACCGAGAGGGGAAAGCGGCGGACCGCAAGGCGUCGCGCGGUGAGAUGAGCCUAUGUCCGAUUAGCUAGUUGGCGGGGUAAGAGCCUACCAAGGCGACGAUCGGUAGCUGGUCUGAGAGGAUGAUCAGCCACACUGGGACUGAGACACGGCCCAGACUCCUACGGGAGGCAGCAGUGGGGAAUAUUGGACAAUGGGCGCAAGCCUGAUCCAGCAAUGCCGC
Molecule: ribosomal RNA, 389 nt
Filed under: uncultured Gammaproteobacteria bacterium
Lineage: Bacteria; Pseudomonadati; Pseudomonadota; Gammaproteobacteria
Description: bacterial SSU rRNA
Rfam family: Bacterial small subunit ribosomal RNA
Source: RNAcentral